UGGGGAAUUUUGGACAAUGGGCGAAAGCCUGAUCCAGCAAUGCCGCGUGUGUGAAGAAGGCCUUCGGGUUGUAAAGCACUUUUGUCCGGAAAGAAAUCCUUGGCUCUAAUACAGUCGGGGGAUGACGGUACCGGAAGAAUAAGCACCGGCUAACUACGUGCCAGCAGCCGCGGUAAUACGUAGGGUGCAAGCGUUAAUCGGAAUUACUGGGCGUAAAGCGUGCGCAGGCGGUUUGCUAAGACCGAUGUGAAAUCCCCGGGCUCAACCUGGGAACUGCAUUGGUGACUGGCAGGCUAGAGUAUGGCAGAGGGGGGUAGAAUUCCACGUGUAGCAGUGAAAUGCGUAGAGAUGUGGAGGAAUACCGAUGGCGAAGGCAGCCCCCUGGGGCCAAUACUGACGCUCAUGCACGAAAAGCGUGGGGAGCAAACAGGAUUAGAUACCCUGGUAGUCCACGCCCUAAAACGAUGUCAACUAGUUGUUGGGGAUUCAUUUCCUAGUAACGUAGCUAACGCGUGAAGUUGACCGCCUGGGGAGUACGGUCGCAAGAUUAAAACUCAAAUGAAUUGACGGGGUCAUAGCUGUUUCCU
This 587-nucleotide ribosomal RNA is filed under the name uncultured bacterium. RNAcentral's name for it is "partial 16S ribosomal RNA". It matches the Rfam family "Bacterial small subunit ribosomal RNA", at positions 355 to 1375 of the family's 1533-position model. The record is from RNAcentral.